This 468-nucleotide ribosomal RNA is filed under the name uncultured bacterium. RNAcentral describes it as "partial 16S ribosomal RNA". It matches the Rfam family "Bacterial small subunit ribosomal RNA", at positions 28 to 507 of the family's 1533-position model. The record is from RNAcentral.
GACGAACGCUGGCGGCGUGCUUAACACAUGCAAGUCGAACGGAAAGGCCCUGCUUUUGUGGGGUGCUCGAGUGGCGAACGGGUGAGUAGCACGUGAGUAACCUGCCCUUGACUUUGGGAUAACUUCAGGAAACUGGGGCUAAUACCGGAUAGGAGCUCCUGCUGCAUGGUGGGGGUUGGAAAGUUUCGGCGGUUGGGGAUGGACUCGCGGCUUAUCAGCUUGUUGGUGGGGUAGUGGCUUACCAAGGCUGUGAAGGGUAGCCGGCCUGAGAGGGUGACCGGCCACAUGGGGACUGAGAGACGGCCCAGACUCGUACGGGAGGCAGCAGGGGGGAAUAUUGCACAAUGGGCGGAAGCCUGAUGCAGCAACGCCGCGUGCGGGAUGACGGCCUUCGGGUUGUGAACCGCUUUCGCCUGUGACGAAGCGUGAGUGACGGUAAUGGGUAAAGAAGCACCGGCUAACUACGUG